RNAcentral lists this ribosomal RNA (253 nucleotides) under uncultured bacterium. Its description in RNAcentral is "partial 16S ribosomal RNA". It matches the Rfam family "Bacterial small subunit ribosomal RNA", at positions 524 to 776 of the family's 1533-position model. The record is from RNAcentral.
UACGUAGGAGACGAGCGUUGUCCGGAAUUACUGGGCGUAAAGCGCGUGUAGGCGGAUGGGCAAGUCUGCUGUGAAAGCUCCUGGCUUAACCGGGAGUGGUCGGUGGAAACUGCCAAUCUGGAGGACGGUAGAGGUAGGUAGAAUUCCCGGUGUAGUGGUGAAAUGCGUAGAUAUCAGGAGGAACACCGGUGGCGAAGGCGGGUCUCUGGGCCGAUACUGACGCUGAGGAGCGAAAGCGUGGGGAGCGAACAGG